Arachis stenosperma is the source of this 1481-nucleotide long non-coding RNA. RefSeq lists it as uncharacterized. The record is from RefSeq and is a predicted model, not a curated record. The transcript is spliced from 7 exons. Lineage: Eukaryota; Viridiplantae; Streptophyta; Magnoliopsida; Fabales; Fabaceae.
GUCCUCCCUUUCCCCUCCCUUUCCUCUCCCAUCUGAAACUUUGAACUUUGAAAUUGAAAGAUCAGAGAACCCUAGCCCUCAGCCGGCAGCCCCCGCAGCCCCGCAACCCCGCAGCCCCCACAGCCCCUUCUCCGUCGUCGUUCCCUUCCCUUCGUUGUCUCUCUUCACUGCGUGCGCCGUCGCUGCUUCUUCUCUCCUUGCUGUCAGUCGUCGCUACUCAGCUCCUCGCCGUGGGUCGUCGCUGUUUCGCUCCUCGCCGUUUGUCAUUUCUGCUUUUCUGCCUUCUCACCAGUCUUGCUAGGUGGUCUCUGCUUCUCUGCUCCUCACUCUUCAUAAGAAAAGAGUUAAUUAGCAAGAGUGGCUGACGGUUUGUCAAUUUCUUGAGUUGUUGGGUGUUCAGCUAACUGGUGGUGAUGGGUAGCUAGAAGAGGUUAAGUGGGUAAGGGUUAAUGAUGAUGGAAAGAACGAAGAACUGGAUGAUGAAUUUGAUGAUUUUCUUGAUAGCAAGCCUGUUCUAGAAUUGUAAGUAACAAGUUUCGGAUAUGCAAGGAAAGAAACUCCUCUUCUUAGUUCCAGAUUCCUCGAACACCAUGGCGGCUUCCAAAACCACAACCAAAACCGAUCUCUUUCUUGCGAGAUUCCACGAGAUCCAGGCAAUCCGAAUCUGAUGAUUGACUCACUCAGGCAGUUGCUUGCUACCAGAGCGGCGGCCAUCUUGUUAAAACGGACAGGCUGCGUCUGCAUAGUAUUUGAGCAUGGAAGACCGGCGGCCUGGUCAUUGUUGGCGUGGGGGCCUUCCAAUCUCAUGGCUGCCUGAUCGAUCUUGAGUGAUUACAAAAGCAGAGAUAUUGCUCUUUGAUUUCGAAGAUCGGUUACUGUAGCUGGCAACUAAAUCAGAAAGCUGUGCAGUCUAAUCAUGCUGGUCGCCAAUGCAGCAAUCAGAGGAGCUUCCAAUGGGCAAGGAUCUAAGGGCAACAUGACCAAAAAAGUCAAGCUGCAGAAGUGGAUGCAACAACUCAGAGGGACAAUGUUGAACUUGUAGCUGAAAAUGAUCGGAGUACCCCCAUAUUUGCAGACCAACCAAACAAGGAGCAACCUGUGGAUUCAACGUCUCCUUUGUCCGGCACUUCAUUAUCAUAAAGCCAACUGAUGAUGUUGGUAAACAUGCCACAGAUGAUGUGAAAGUUUUAGCAGUUGAAACUGUUUCUGAAAUUGCCACUGUAUCUACAAAUGGUGAGUCUGUCAAAGAAAAUGCUUUUGAGGAGGAUCCUCCCAAACUUCCAAAGGAAUUGAAGCCCCAAGUGAUGAACUCACUAAUAUUGGCCAAACUAACAAGCCUAGGGAUCUGGAUGCGAAUCAAAAUGUGAAUCAAGAGAGAUCAGAAUCUGUGGGUGCUUAUAUUGUUCCUGGACCUAAAGAUGGUGAUGUAAAGACACAAAUUACAUUGGCUUGUAGUUUUUUAUUGUGUACCAUUAUAUAAU